RNAcentral lists this ribosomal RNA (490 nucleotides) under uncultured bacterium. Its description in RNAcentral is "partial 16S ribosomal RNA". It matches the Rfam family "Bacterial small subunit ribosomal RNA", at positions 30 to 507 of the family's 1533-position model. The record is from RNAcentral.
AUUGAACGCUGGCGGCAGGCCUAACACAUGCAAGUCGAACGGUAACAGGAAGAAGCUUGCUUCUUUGCUGACGAGUGGCGGACGGGUGAGUAAUGUCUGGGAAACUGCCUGAUGGAGGGGGAUAACUACUGGAAACGGUAGCUAAUACCGCAUAACGUCGCAAGACCAAAGAGGGGGACCUUCGGGCCUCUUGCCAUCGGAUGUCCCCAGAUGGGAUUAGCUAGUAGGUGGGGUAACGGCUCACCUAGGCGACGAUCCCUAGCUGGUCUGAGAGGAUGACCAGCCACACUGGAACUGAGACACGGUCCAGACUCCUACGGGAGGCAGCAGUGGGGAAUAUUGCACAAUGGGCGCAAGCCUGAUGCAGCCAUGCCGCGUGUAUGAAGAAGGCCUUCGGGUUGUAAAGUACUUUCAGCGGGGAGGAAGGGAGUAAAGUUAAUACCUUUGCUCAUUGACGUUACCCGCAGAAGAAGCACCGGCUAACUCCGUG